RNAcentral lists this ribosomal RNA (420 nucleotides) under Fusobacteriota bacterium. RNAcentral's name for it is "Fusobacteria bacterium partial 16S ribosomal RNA". It matches the Rfam family "Bacterial small subunit ribosomal RNA", at positions 355 to 776 of the family's 1533-position model. The record is from RNAcentral. Lineage: Bacteria; Fusobacteriati; Fusobacteriota.
UGGGGGAUAUUUCACAAUGGGCGAAAGCCUGAUGCAGCGACGCCGCGUGGGGGAUGAAGGCCUUCGGGUUGUAAACUUCUUUUGCUCUGAACAAGGCAUGCCUUUGGGGUGUGUUGAGUGUAGGGGUUGAUUAGCGCCGGCUAACUACGUGCCAGCAGCCGCGGUAAUACGUAGGGCGCGAGCGUUGUCCGGAAUUAUUGGGCGUAAAGGGCUUGUAGGUGGCUGGUUGCGUCUGUCGUGAAAGCUCAUGGCUUAACUGUGGGUUUGCGGUGGGUACGGGCUGGCUUGAGUGCAGUAGGGGAGGCUGGAAUUCCUGGUGUAGCGGUGGAAUGCGCAGAUAUCAGGAGGAAUACCGGUGGCGAAGGCGGGUCUCUGGGCUGUUACUGACGCUGAGGAGCGAAAGCGUGGGGAGCGAACAGG